AGUCCUUUGUUGGAUGUAUAGAUUGUGAAGAUUUUCUCCCACUCUCUGGGAGUUAAAAAGAAUUCUGCUGUAGCCUACCAUCUCGUGACUUCAAGUUUGUCUUUAUUACACCAAGACAACAUGGAAGUUAUGAGAUCCAUAAUGAUUUUUAAAUCGAACACAAACACACUGGCAACUUAUGGAAAAAAAUAAGAAAUGUUACAAUAUUACAACCAGAUGGUUUGCCAAAAUGCAGAACAAAUUAAAAAAUAAAGAAAGCAUGAAAAAGAGCACUGAGGAACAAAGAGCUGAGAACCAUGGGCAGUGAACAUGUUGACAAACAGCACACUAUGAGCGGGCGUUUAUUCCACUUGGUACC
Molecule: long non-coding RNA, 358 nt
Organism: Symphalangus syndactylus (siamang)
Lineage: Eukaryota; Metazoa; Chordata; Mammalia; Primates; Hylobatidae
Source: RefSeq, a predicted model, not a curated record